AGCUUGCUAGAUUGAUGGCGAGUGGCGAACGGGUGAGUAAUACAUCGGAACGUGCCCUGUAGUGGGGGAUAACUAGUCGAAAGAUUAGCUAAUACCGCAUACGACCUGAGGGUGAAAGUGGGGGACCGCAAGGCCUCAUGCUAUAGGAGCGGCCGAUGUCUGAUUAGCUAGUUGGUGAGGUAAAGGCUCACCAAGGCGACGAUCAGUAGCUGGUCUGAGAGGACGAUCAGCCACACUGGGACUGAGACACGGCCCAGACUCCUACGGGAGGCAGCAGUGGGGAAUUUUGGACAAUGGGGGCAACCCUGAUCCAGCAAUGCCGCGUGUGUGAAGAAGGCCUUCGGGUUGUAAAGCACUUUUGUCCGGAAAGAAAUCGCACUUACUAAUAUUAGGUGUGGAUGACGGUACCGGAAGAAUAAGGACCGGCUAACUACGUGCCAGCAGCCGCGGUAAUACGUAGGGUCCAAGCGUUAAUCGGAAUUACUGGGCGUAAAGCGUGCGCAGGCGGUUGUGCAAGACCGAUGUGAAAUCCCCGGGCUUAACCUGGGAAUUGCAUUGGCGACUGCACGGCUAGAGUGUGUCAGAGGGGGGUAGAAUUCCACGUGUAGCAGUGAAAUGCGUAGAGAUGUGGAGGAAUACCGAUGGCGAAGCAGCCCCCUGGGAUNACACUGACGCUCAUGCACGAAAGCGUGGGGAGCAAACAGGAUUAGAUACCNUGGUAGUCCACGCCCUAAACGAUGUCAGCUAGUUGUUGGGGAUUCAUUUCCUUAGUAACGUAGCUAACGCGUGAAGUUGACCGCCUGGGGAGUACGGUCGCAAGAUUAAAACUCAAAGGAAUUGACGGGGACCCGCACAAGCGGUGGAUGAUGUGGAUUAAUUCGAUGCAACGCGAAAAACCUUACCUACCCUUGACAUGCCACUAACGAAGCAGAGAUGCAUUAGGUGCUCGAAAGAGAAAGUGGACACAGGUGCUGCAUGGCUGUCGUCAGCUCGUGUCGUGAGAUGUUGGGUUAAGUCCCGCAACGAGCGCAACCCUUGUCUCUAGUUGCUACGAAAGGGCACUCUAGAGAGACUGCCGGUGACAAACCGGAGGAAGGUGGGGAUGACGUCAAGUCCUCAUGGCCCUUAUGGGUAGGGCUUCACACGUCAUACAAUGGUGCAUACAGAGGGUUGCCAAGCCGCGAGGUGGAGCUAAUCCCAGAAAAUGCAUCGUAGUCCGGAUCGUAGUCUGCAACUCGACUACGUGAAGCUGGAAUCGCUAGUAAUCGCGGAUCAGCAUGCCGCGGUGAAUACGUUCCCGGGUCUUGUACACACCGCCCGUCACACCAUGGGAGUGGGUUUUGCCAGAAGUAGUUAGCCUAACCGCAAGGGGGGCGAUUACCACGGCAGGGUUCAUGACUGGGGUGA
This 1407-nucleotide ribosomal RNA is filed under the name uncultured Ralstonia sp. Its description in RNAcentral is "16S ribosomal RNA". It matches the Rfam family "Bacterial small subunit ribosomal RNA". Lineage: Bacteria; Pseudomonadati; Pseudomonadota; Betaproteobacteria; Burkholderiales; Burkholderiaceae. The record is from RNAcentral.